GGAGAUUCUAGACCACUCCCUAGGAGAUAGC
Molecule: non-coding RNA, 31 nt
Filed under: Homo sapiens (human)
Lineage: Eukaryota; Metazoa; Chordata; Mammalia; Primates; Hominidae
Source: RNAcentral